This 427-nucleotide ribosomal RNA is filed under the name Amphioplus cf. daleus NHM_447. Its description in RNAcentral is "partial 16S ribosomal RNA". It matches the Rfam family "Bacterial large subunit ribosomal RNA", at positions 1953 to 2605 of the family's 2925-position model. Lineage: Eukaryota; Metazoa; Echinodermata; Ophiuroidea; Amphilepidida; Amphiuridae. The record is from RNAcentral.
AAGGUAGCAUAAUCAUUAGCCUAUUAAUUGUAGGCUUGUAUCAACGGCUAGACGACAGAAAAUCUGUCUCUCUUUAUUUUUCUUGAAUUUAAUUUUAUGGUGAAGAAGCCAUAAUAUGUUAGUGGGACGAGAAGACCCUAUUGAGCUUUACUAAAAAAAAUAAAAAGUUAUUUUGGAAGUUUGGUUGGGGCAACCGUUUCUUUUAUAAGACAGAAACAUUAAUAAAUAUAAAAGGAAUUAAAUCUUUUAAAGGACCCAGAAUUAGGUCUGAUUAAUAAAAUAAGUUACCUUAGGGAUAACAGCGUAAUUCUUUUUGAGAGUACACAUUGACAAAAGAGUUUGCGACCUCGAUGUUGGAUCAAGAAAACCUGAAUGUGCAGCAGCCUUCAAGGGUUGGUUUGUUCAACCAUAAAAAUCUUACGUGAUC